This 231-nucleotide ribosomal RNA is filed under the name uncultured bacterium. RNAcentral's name for it is "partial 16S ribosomal RNA". It matches the Rfam family "Bacterial small subunit ribosomal RNA", at positions 118 to 350 of the family's 1533-position model. The record is from RNAcentral.
UGGGCAACCUGCCCUCAGCACUGGGAUAACUCCGGGAAACCGGGGCUAAUACCGGAUACGACCUCGGCGGGCAUCCGCUGAGGUGGAAAGUGUCAGUGGCUGAGGAUGGGCCCGCGGCCUAUCAGCUUGUUGGUGGGGUAACGGCCUACCAAGGCGACGACGGGUAGCCGGCCUGAGAGGGCGACCGGCCACACUGGGACUGAGACACGGCCCAGACUCCUACGGGAGGCA